Molecule: non-coding RNA, 918 nt
Organism: Myodes glareolus (Bank vole)
Lineage: Eukaryota; Metazoa; Chordata; Mammalia; Rodentia; Cricetidae
Source: RefSeq, a predicted model, not a curated record
AUGGCCUAUAAGUCUCAGGAGUUGGUACACAAGUGUGGGAUAUAUGGGAAAUAUUUCAGUACCACCUCAAGCUACAGUGUACAGCAGAGGUUUGAUACUGGAAACAAACCCUACAAGUGCAACAUUUGUCACGGAUCCUUUACCCUUUGCUCAAAUCCUAAAACACAUCUAAGACUUUAUACUGGGGAGAAGCCUUACAAAUGCAGAGCAUGUGAAAUGUCAUUCUCUCAGUUGUCUGCGCCUUAAAACCAUCAGAACAUGCAUAGUGGAGAAAAGUGAUGCCAAUGUAAAGAAUGUGACAAAUCUUUUGCCUAUCGUUCUAGUUUGAGAAAGCAUCAGAAUGUCAUACUUCUGAGGAACACUACAGUUGUUAAGAAUGUGGCAAUGUCUUUCACCAGCUUUCACAUUUGAAAAACCAUUACAGACUCCACAGUGGAGAGAAGUCUAACAAAUGCAAUGACUGUGGCAGAUCCUUCCCCACUGUUUAUUCUUUAGAAAGCAUCAAUAAAAUCUUUCUCUAGAGAAAUUACACAAAUGCAAAGAAUAUGAUAAGCCCUUUAUUGUGUUACCACAUAUUAAAGGCAUUACAGAAUUGAUUCUGAUGACAAGCCUUAUAAAUGUAGGGAAUAUGACAAAUGCUUUACCCAGGACUCACAUCUUAGAAGACAUCAGAGAGUUCAUACAGGAAAGAGACCUUACAAAUGCAAUGACUGUGACCUAUCCUUUAAUCAGAUUUCAAAUCUUAAAAGACAUCAGAAACUUCAUACUGGAGAGAAACUUUACAAAUGUAUGGAUUGUGACAAGUCCUUUACCCAUACCUCACAUCUUAGAACACACCAGAGAGUUCAUAUUGGAGACAGACUUUUCAGCUGUAAGGAAUGUGACAAAUCUUCUACUAAUGGCUCAAUUCUUAAAUAA